This is an unclassified non-coding RNA of Chelonoidis abingdonii (Abingdon island giant tortoise), 170 nucleotides long. Lineage: Eukaryota; Metazoa; Chordata; Testudines; Testudinidae. The record is from Ensembl.
UUAGCAGCCCCAGAGACUGAAGCCCUCUGUCCACAGAACAGAUACAGCAUGGGCAACAGCACAAGCUUCCUCCCCCAACUCUCUAUGAUAUGCUCCAACCUUAACCUGAAGGGAGAGCAAGUGAGGAAAGGAUAAUUUAGUAUCAUGUCCAUUCUGUUUUUGAUAUUGCU